AUCUAGACAUGGCUCAAGAUCCCAAGGCCGGCCCUGCCCAGCCAGGCCAGAAGAGGCAGCAGGGCACACGUGUUUUCUGGGUCUAUGAAUACCAGAGGAUCCGGAUGCCCACACUCAUCAACCACAUGCCUGUCAAGAUCCGGAGGGCCCACAUGGGCAUGGGGGUCAGGAGCGGCUUCAGCCCCCAACGGGUCUCCAGGAACAGCCCCCUGCCCUCUGGGCAGAAAAAGUUCCCCACCGAGGAGCUGCAUGACAUCCAGGGGGCGCUGUGGCAGAUCAAAGCCCAGGUGGACAGUCUGCUGCAGAGCCUGGAGCGCAUGGACCGGCAGCAGGUCCCACCCGCAGGUCUGAUCCCCAUGCUCUGUGGGAGCCCAGCUUUCCCCACUCCUGAAGAUGCCCGGUGCCUGGGGCCCUGCCUGUGCCUUUCCCUGUCUUCAGGUCUCCCUUCCCGGAGUACACUCCCCACUCCCCAUCCCUGGGCUGUACUUGAGGCUCAAGGACUCUUGUGGCUUCUGAGUCACCCCCACCCACUCAGCAACCGCCUGGAGACAGAGCCACACGUCCCAGCCCAUCUGUUUCUUGCCCUCUUGAGUCUUAGAGGCCCUAGGUCAUUGCUGGGCAUUAAGUGGCCUCUCUGGGGUCAGCUGGGGCCUCCAAACCCAGCCAUUGACUGAUGACCUUCUCUGCACAGCCACAAAGGACAGUGGAAAAAACAGGGGUCCUGGUAGCAAGGGCUCCUCCUGCAGCUCUGAGCCCCCGCAGAAGCCCCAGAGCGAGGAGGCUGGUCCAGAGGCAGAUGGCUACGAGGGCGGCACAGACACGGAGUGGACAGUGAGUGACCCGGCCCCGCUGCCCCAUCUCCACCGUACUUGUGUUGGGUUCCUUGUGGCCUCCCUGUGAGCAAGGGGGAGGGCCUCUCUGGUCAGUCCAGGAGCCCGAGGUAGUGCGGAGGGGGAGGUGUGUUCCCUCUGUCACAGAGUCAUGCCCAGUAGGCUGGGCCCCUGUCCUGUUUUCUGCCUCCCAACCCUGGGCUUGGAGGGCUCAGCUGUGCCAGGGUCGGUUCUAGGCUGAAAUACCUUCUCCCAGAAGGCAGUGGGGGGACAGGGCUGGAGCACCGUAAAGGGAAUGUCACAGGUGUGCCCCAUGGCCCCAGACCCCUGUCUGAGACCCAGCUGGAAAGCUUGUCUUGGGUUUCGGCCAGGUGCAGGGGCUCACGCCUGUAAUCCCAGCACUUUGGGAGGCCAAGGCAGGUGGAUCACCUGAGGUUGGGAGUUUGAGACCAGCCUGACCAACAUGGAGAAACCCUGUCUCUACUUAAAAUACAAAAAAUUGGCUGGGCGUGGUGGCUCACACCAUUAAUCCCACCACUUUGGGAGGCUGAGGCACGUGGAUUGCGAGGUCAGGAGUUUGAGACCAGCCUGGCCAAGAUGGUGAAACUCCGUCUCUACUAAAAAUACAAAAAUUAGCUGGGCACGGUGGUGAGCGCCUGUAAUCCCAGCCACUUGGGAGGCUAAGGCAGGAGAAUCACUUGAACCCAUGAGGCGGAGGUUGCAGUGAGCCGAGAUCAUGCCCCUGCGCUCUAGCCUGGGUGACAGAGACUGCAUCUCAAAAAAUAAUAUAUUAGCCUGGUGUGGUGGCGCGUGCCUGUAAUCCCAGCUACUCUGGAGGCUGAGAGAAUUGCUUGAACCCGGGAGGCGGAGGUUGCUGAGCUGAGAUCGCACCAUUGCACUCCAGCCUGGGCAACAAGGGCAAAACUCCGUCUCAGGAAAAAAAAAAAAAAAAAACCCAGCUUCCUGCGCUCUUCCUGCUGCUGCUGCAGGGUUUCUGGCUGCCGCAUGGACCAUGCCCCCUGGGGAAGCUGUGGCACACUAACCUUCCUGGAACUGGUAACAGCCCUGUGUGUGGCAUUAGAGUACCUGAAUAUUCCCUGCCCAUCCAAAACCACCACCUCUUGCUGGCCUGAGGCAGGCCAUGCCCGGCCCACAAUGGGGCUGGAGCCCUCCCCCAUCUACCCACCCAGCUCUGUGUUCGGUCUGCUGGGCUCAGGAGGGCUUUCACUGCUGCCCAGAUCCUGAGUCACACCUGUAAUAUCUGGGAAAAGAAUGGCUACAUGUAGACGACUGCUUUCUUUAGCCUGGUGGUUCUGAGUUUCUAGGUCUUAAGUAGAAUAUAGAGAAGCCCUGAGCUGCUAAAGCUCUGGGGAGGAAAUGGAAAUCGGGGUGUGGGGGAGACUAGAUGUUGAGUAGGUGGCCCCCCUUUCCUAGCCUCCCAUGCCUCCGGCCCCUCUGCCACUAUCCUGCUUCUGUUUUCCCUACAGGUGAAGAACCACGCUGAAGACCAGGCCAGCCAGGAGGCAGCAGGAACCCCUCCAGCCUCAUCAGCUCCUGGCAUUCUCGAUAGACAGCUCCUUGCCUUGCGUAGGUUUUGAAAGCCACCUUAGCAACCUGAAUGCCUGAUCUGGAGCUGGGGCAAUGGAAGUGGACACAGGGCUUGCCAGACAAGCAGAGGGCCAACCUGUAGUGGUGGGUUUUAGCUUCUUUAGAGGUUGCAUUUCGAGAUGAUGGUCCUGGGACUGACACGGUUAGGAGGUGGCCUGGAACUGCACCAGGUCGCCAUCCUCAUGAAGCUGAGGCUCUCUUGCAAGGGGCAGAUGACAGCCCAUCCCCACCCCACCCCACCCCUCAGAGGGCACCCUCAGCCUUGUCUGAAUGCAGACACAGCUGAUCUUCACUCCCCUCCCGAUGCACCGCCAGUCAACAGAUAGCCAACAGAUCUCCCUGAGUUUCCAAUCUCCCUGAAACUGCUGGAAUGUUCUCAGUGUGUACCCCACACAGCCCUCUUUGGGCUCCAGACUCCCCAUCUACUCUAGGAAGUCACCCUUCAGAAUUACAUUAUGUCCUCUCCCCACUGGUGUGAUACUAUUUCAGACCUGCUCUAGAAAGACACGUUAUGUCAGAAGGGAAAAAAUAAAAUUUGUAUUUUUCCUGGUCAGGGGUUCUAGGUGUGGCCCCAGAAACUCAUUCUGGUCCUUGGGCUGACCCAGGCCGGCCCUUCCUAGAGAAGCUGAGUGCAGAGAGAGGGGACCAGGCCGCCUUCCAAAUGGCAGUCACCUAGCUUCCUACCAUGCAGUCUUGAGCCCAAACCAGCAGAGCUGGUAGGGACACAGGAAAGACCCCACCUCGUGGCCAGUCAGUCAGGUUGUACCUGGCCUUCCUAGCAGUGCACCUGCCCUCUGCGGUGCUGCUCAGGGUCUUCCUUGUAGGACCAGGGUGCCACUUCUCACCAGCAGUGGAGGCUCGGGUUGUGCCAUUCUGUACAUGGCCAAGGACAGAUGGCUUCUACCCAGACCAAAACCCUUUUCAGCUACCCAGCACCAAGCCAGGUUGGGGCACGAGGUGCACUCAGCGCACUUCUGGGGCCGUACUUUUUUUACUGAGACGGAGUCUUGCUCUUGUUGCCCAGGCUGGAGUGCAAUGGUGCGAUCUCCACUCACCGCAACCUCCACCUCCCGGGUUCAAGCGAUUCUCCUGCCUCAGCCUCCCGAGU
Molecule: long non-coding RNA, 3546 nt
Filed under: Macaca nemestrina (pig-tailed macaque)
Lineage: Eukaryota; Metazoa; Chordata; Mammalia; Primates; Cercopithecidae
Description: lncRNA (ENSMNEG00000045893.1)
Source: RNAcentral